This 424-nucleotide ribosomal RNA is filed under the name uncultured bacterium. RNAcentral describes it as "partial 16S ribosomal RNA". It matches the Rfam family "Bacterial small subunit ribosomal RNA", at positions 354 to 796 of the family's 1533-position model. The record is from RNAcentral.
GUGGGGAAUAUUGCACAAUGGGCGAAAGCCUGAUGCAGCAACGCCGCGUGAAGGAAGAAGACCCUUGGGUCGUAAACUUCUGUUCUAAGGGAAGAUAAUGACGGUACCUUAGGAGCAAGUCCCGGCUAACUACGUGCCAGCAGCCGCGGUAAUACGUAGGGGGCGAGCGUUAUCCGUAAUUAUUGGGCGUAAAGAGUACGUAGGUGGUUAUCUAAGCGAGGGGUUUAAGGCAAUAGCUCAACUAUUGUUUGCCCCGCGAACUGGGUGACUUGAGUGCUGGAGAGGAAAGCGGAAUUCCUAGUGUAGCGGUGAAAUGCGUAGAUAUUAGGAGGAACAUCAGUGGCGAAGGCGGCUUUCUGGACAGUAACUGACACUGAGGUACGAAAGUGUGGGGAGCAAACAGGAUUAGAUACCCGAGUAGUCC